Molecule: non-coding RNA, 45 nt
Filed under: Schistosoma haematobium
Lineage: Eukaryota; Metazoa; Platyhelminthes; Trematoda; Strigeidida; Schistosomatidae
Source: RNAcentral
AUCUAGCUGACGAGUCCCAAAUAGGACAAAACAAAAGUCUCGGAU